GAACCGGAGCUAAUACCGGAUAAUAUAUUGAACCGCAUGGUUCAAUAGUGAAAGACGGUUUUGCUGUCACUUAUAGAUGGAUCCGCGCCGCAUUAGCUAGUUGGUAAGGUAACGGCUUACCAAGGCAACGAUGCGUAGCCGACCUGAGAGGGUGAUCGGCCACACUGGAACUGAGACACGGUCCAG
Molecule: ribosomal RNA, 186 nt
Filed under: uncultured Staphylococcus sp.
Lineage: Bacteria; Bacillati; Bacillota; Bacilli; Caryophanales; Staphylococcaceae
Description: partial 16S ribosomal RNA
Rfam family: Bacterial small subunit ribosomal RNA
Source: RNAcentral